UGGGGAAUAUUGGGCAAUGGGGGAAACCCUGACCCAGCGACGCCGCGUGAAGGAAGAAGGUCUUCGGAUUGUAAACUUUAGUCAACAGGGACGAAGAGGUGACGGUACCUGUGGAGGAAGCCACGGCUAACUACGUGCCAGCAGCCGCGGUAAUACGUAGGUGGCGAGCGUUAUCCGGAUUUACUGGGCGUAAAGGGCGAGUAGGCGGGAUGGCAAGUCAGAAGUGAAAAUUAUGGGCUCAACCCAUAACCUGCUUUUGAAACUGUCGUUCUUGAGAGUGGGAGAGGUAAAUGGAAUUCCCGGUGUAGCGGUGAAAUGCGUAGAUAUCGGGAGGAACAUCGGUGGCGAAGGCGAUUUACUGGACCACAACUGACGCUGAGGAGCGAAAGCGUGGGGAGCAAACAGG
This 406-nucleotide ribosomal RNA is filed under the name uncultured prokaryote. Its description in RNAcentral is "bacterial SSU rRNA". It matches the Rfam family "Bacterial small subunit ribosomal RNA", at positions 355 to 776 of the family's 1533-position model. RNAcentral also lists the same sequence under 1 other name. The record is from RNAcentral.